This is a long non-coding RNA of Myotis lucifugus (little brown bat), 814 nucleotides long. RefSeq lists it as uncharacterized. The transcript is spliced from 3 exons. The record is from RefSeq and is a predicted model, not a curated record. NCBI's taxonomy places the organism in Eukaryota, Metazoa, Chordata, Mammalia, Chiroptera, Vespertilionidae.
AUAAGACUGUGGGUGCUUGGAGCAAAGCAACUGGGAUCUGGAGCACACAAGCACAGAACACAGAACAGAAACUAAACAUAAUACAGAGCCAAGAGACGAAGCACAGGACCUGGUCUCUGCUUGUCAGCAAGGUAUACCCUGACCAUCAUACAUAAGGCAAAGAAAGGACUGCUGACACAGAUGAAGAUAGAACAUCUGUAUCAUAAGCUGUUACACUGAAGAAGUUUUACAGCUAGCCUGAGAGAAAGAAAACAUAAAUCAAGAGAUGAGAGGGAAAGUAAGAAGAUACAAUAACUUUUACCACCAAGACAUGUUUAUUAAAAAAUAGGAACUCACAGAGUUCUUAAAUAAAUCCAAGCCCUCAAGUUCUAGCAACACCACUAAACAUGUAAACACUAUGCGCAGUUUCUUGGAAACUAGGAGUACCUGACACUAAAGGCACUGGAUUGGUUAGAGAAGGUGUGCAGGUGACAUCUAAUUCCCAGGAGUGAGUCUGGUGGUGGGCCACCAGACAGAUGGUUCAACCCUGAGAAGAGAUGUAGGCUGAAACAUGGGGAUAGAGGAGGAACAAGGCAGUAAGCAGCAGAGGGACCGAUGCACUAAGAGGGUAGGCCAUAUGGGAACUUUCAUAUGAAGGUUAUAAAUAAACUGACCGAUUCUAUGUUAAUAUCAAAAUUAAAGCCAUAUAUAUUCAGUAAAUAACUAUAAUAUAGAUUAACACUGGGCAGUUCCACAAUUCUAUUCUUAAGCAAUUUUACAAUAAGUACAAAUAAGAUCCUAAGUAUUUGCAAGAGGAGAAAAUUUUAAAUAAAUG